GUGGCCACAGGUGAUGGACCCCACCUGGGGCGAGGCCCCGAACCGCAUCCGCUAAUGGCUCCUGCGACGUU
This 71-nucleotide non-coding RNA is filed under the name Nostocoides japonicum T1-X7. RNAcentral's name for it is "Tetrasphaera japonica T1-X7 Fluoride riboswitch aptamer (crcB RNA motif)". It matches the Rfam family "Fluoride riboswitch aptamer (crcB RNA motif)". Lineage: Bacteria; Bacillati; Actinomycetota; Actinomycetes; Micrococcales; Intrasporangiaceae. The record is from Rfam by way of RNAcentral.